Molecule: ribosomal RNA, 301 nt
Filed under: uncultured bacterium
Lineage: Bacteria
Description: partial 16S ribosomal RNA
Rfam family: Bacterial small subunit ribosomal RNA
Source: RNAcentral
CAGCAGCCGCGGUAAUGCGUAGGUGGCAAGCGUUGUCCGGAAUUAUUGGGCGUAAAGGGCUCGCAGGCGGUUUCUUAAGUCUGAUGUGAAAACCCCCGGCCCAACCGGGGAGGGUCAUUGGAAACUGGGAAACUUGAGUGUAGAAGAGGAGAGAGGAAUUCCACGUGUAGCGGUGAAAUGCGUAGAGAUGUGGAGGAACACCAGUGGCGAAGGCGACUCUCUGGUCUGUAACUGACGCUGAGGAGCGAAAGCGUGGGGAGCGAACGGGAUUAGAUACCCCAGUAGUCCCUGUCUCUUAUAC